GACAGAGGGUGCAAACGUUGUUCGGAUUUACUGGGCGUAAAGCGUGUGUAGGCGGCUUCGCAAGUUGGAUGUGAAAUCCCACGGCUCAACCGUGGACGUGCAUCCAAAACUGCGUCGCUAGAGUCUCGGAGAGGAAGGUGGAAUGCUUGGUGUAGAGGUGAAAUUCGUAGAUAUCGGGAGGAACAUCAGUGGCGAAGGCGGCUACCUGGCCCAAUACUGACACUCAGGUGCGACAGCGUGGGGAGCAAACAGG
This 253-nucleotide ribosomal RNA is filed under the name uncultured bacterium. RNAcentral describes it as "partial 16S ribosomal RNA". It matches the Rfam family "Bacterial small subunit ribosomal RNA", at positions 524 to 776 of the family's 1533-position model. The record is from RNAcentral.